AGCUAGGUAUAUAGAAGGUAUAUUCGAUUCAACAAUCUGAAGUUGUGGAGUUAGCCCUCGGUAUACCAUACUGUAAGCCUCAGAUAAUCACUAGCUUAUUCAAGAAUAAUAUAGUAAAGUCGUAGAGGAAGAAAAGAAAGAAGAGAAAGAACUGGGAGUAUGAGGACAACUUACAGGGAGAAGGAAGGUGGAGACAAACAACAGGAGCUAUUCAACCAUCGUUAGAGGCAAACCUUAGAAGAAUGCUGGAAGAAGAGGAAAGCUGAUUGAUAACACUUAACCAAACAUCGCAAGGACAGGAAGGAGUAUCCUGAACGUAAGGCCAAUGGCUAGCAUACUUCGCUGAACACUCAACUUGAUCUAUAUCGAUAGACACAUCUGAGAGAAUCAUAGUUCCCCCUCUGGGGAUAACUAGUUCUUCUCCCGAGUCCUUGUUUUGUAUGAGAUAACAGCAGUCUUUACUUAACCGAGCAUCGUAGGGCUUACUUCAUCACACAUAGCUGUCUUUACUUUCGUUUCGCUAACCGCCCAAA
Molecule: long non-coding RNA, 533 nt
Filed under: Sorghum bicolor (sorghum)
Lineage: Eukaryota; Viridiplantae; Streptophyta; Magnoliopsida; Poales; Poaceae
Description: long non-coding RNA (SBIC_LNC000010)
Source: RNAcentral